GCCGGAACUAUAGAAAGCCGCUCUUCGAAUAAGUUCCCUUUUUUAAACAUUAACACCCAACUACAGGCCAGUUCAUUACAAGAAGUUCUGAUUAUAACCUCAACAGUUAAAGUAUCCAAAGAAAAAAAUAAAAAACCCAAGGGCGAAAAUAACACUCCAGAUUGAAUCUCUGAAAAAAUGUCAGGAAACCCUACUGAUUAUUGACUCGCUAAGACCCAUUAAGGAUGGACUUAAUAGCCAGGCACAGGUAAAGGAAGAUGGGAAGAAGAAGAAGAAGAAGAAGACUGAUGACUGCGUAGAGUAGUUUGAAAUGUUGAUGCUGGCGUUUUUAUCUUCUAGUUUUUUCGUAUAAGUAUGGUAAGUAUAAAUAUUGUAGGGAAUCUAUCGAUUCCCUCGAAAAUAUUCGAGUUGGGUUAAAUUUCGAACCAAAAUGCUAAAAAUAGAAGAACUCUAAGGGAUCCGUAGAAAGGCUUUGCUAACGGUCGAAUGGAAAACGGCCUGAAUGCCAUAAAAAUCGGCAUUUCAGGGCGAAUAAUUCAAUUGAGUUCCGUCCAGUCCAUAGAGCAAGUAUAUAUAGAGGAGAAACUGAUGUACUAAACUCUGAAACAGUAAUUUAGUUCCAUCAACAUCUUCGAGUGGCCGCUCGCAUCACUGAUUUUCUAUUUACCUAGAGAAAUAUUUACUUAACCUCAAAAAUUUUUAGUUGAUCCGUCGAACGUAGCGUACCUUAUUUUUGGUAAGAGAUUUAUUAUGUUGCAGUCAACUUUGAAGUCCAACAAAUAUUGUGUUCCUAACUGUGGAGAUGUGUAGGGUAAACGUCAUCGUUUUCGAAUGAAGAGAAGCAGCCAACAAUUUUCAAACUUUUGCUCGAAAAAGUUAGUUAUCCAUUGCUCAACUCAAAAACUCAUCAACAAAUCCGCAAGAAGUGAAAUUAGAUAGCCUUAAAGGAAUUUGGGCAACUGCUAUCCCUGAAUUAUUUCUUCCUGGAUCUUCAAAUCAAGGGGAAGACAGAGAAGUUCAUGAAACUGAAGGAAUACAUCUCCAAAGUGAUGUUGAGAGGGAAGUAUCAACAGAGACUUUGAAGAAUUUUAAGCAGCGUCAGAAAACUUCAAUAUAUAGAAAUAUAUAGAAGAAUGAACGUUUUCUAUCAAAAUGUCUGAUUGAUAAGAGAAGCAAACUGAGAAUUACCCAAAAAAAAAGUUUCAUCAUACAAAGAGCUGCUAAAAAAUGUAGAGAAAUUUAAUACAUGAGCAAAUUUCAGUAGACUGAUGAAUUAUGUUUCUCCAACAGCUUUUAAUUGGGCAUACUUUUGGAAGUAGUUGUAUGUUCCAACAUUUCAAACAAAUGAUAUCGAGGACAACAAUUAAUUGAUACUAGAAGCUGUGGCACUGCAGAGCUGAUCCCUUUUUUGGAUGAGCUGUUUGAUAGCCUGAAUAUGCAAUUGUGAAGGGCACUGAUAAAAAUUCAAAACUUCUGGAGUUAUGUGUGACCCAAUUAAAAAUUUGGCAUACUAGAAAUAUUUGAAAAAUGUAAAACUUUAAAUAGAUGAUUUUUUAUAUGAA
Molecule: long non-coding RNA, 1562 nt
Organism: Harmonia axyridis
Lineage: Eukaryota; Metazoa; Arthropoda; Insecta; Coleoptera; Coccinellidae
Exons: 3
Source: RefSeq, a predicted model, not a curated record